Long non-coding RNA from Gopherus flavomarginatus (Mexican gopher tortoise), 1734 nucleotides. RefSeq lists it as uncharacterized. The transcript has 3 exons. Lineage: Eukaryota; Metazoa; Chordata; Testudines; Testudinidae. The record is from RefSeq and is a predicted model, not a curated record.
AUGUAGUAUCCCACAAGCCACUGUACUCUGGUAAUGUGAGAGUGUUUCACCCGCUACAUUAUGUCCAGUACUUGAUUAACCAUUGUUUCACACUGAUGAAGUAGUCUGUUCUCUUCAUGAUUCAGAUCCUCUUCAUAAUCCCUUUUCUGUAAAUCUCCUCUUUUCAUUAUACAGCCAUAAUUAUUUCUUUCUGUAGAGUGCAUAACCUAACACCUAUGUACAUUGAGUGCCAAGGUUUGAAACCAUAAUAAGCUGAAUGCUCACCUUAGAAGCCAUUAUUUCAAUCAUUAGAACACAGUUUAUUCCUCUAGAGAACAUUAACAUUUGAAAAUGUGUCAACUAGAGUAUGAAAUUUAUCAUGAUUAUGGACCACCUGCCAACUAAUUAGAAUACAACAUUCUGAUUUCCUGUACUCCAGUAUUAAUCUAACAUUUGACAUCAGUUUAUAUUUUUAAGUUGUUUCAGUUCAGUGCCUGGCAAAUCGCUCGUGAAGGCCAAAGAAAUGUGAUUUGAAACUGAAAAGAAACUGCAAUCAAGAGGAGGUGAAGAGCCAAAUACAAGUUCAAAGUGCUGCUUCAAAAGACCCAAUUUGCCAUGCAAACAAUGACAAAAUCUUAUGGCAGCAGCAGGGGCAAAGGAAGCUAAAAAUUGCUAUUGUUGGGUUAAUCUGUAGUUGUUUAAAAAAAGUAAUCUCCCAUUCUUGAGCUAAAAAAUCUUUUAAAGGUAAACUGUACUGCAAAUAUGAAAAAAUGAGUUAUGCCUAGAAAUAUUUGCUGGGUGUCCCCACUAUCUAUAAUAAUAUGUUUACUUUAAGUACAUAUUCAGCCACUAGGUGUCUCUGUGUGCUGUUUAUAGUUCCAUACAGGGUGUGGUUGCUGGUAAACAAAGAAAUCCAAGCUGGAGCUUAAGCAGUUUAUUUGUUGUUAUAAUUGUUUUCUUUGAGAAAUUCUUUGAGACCUGUUUUAUUCUACAUAUUAUUAAAGUGAUCAUGCUGUGAAAUAAUCUGACACCUUAAAGACAUUCCAGAAAGCAACAUUCUGUAACAUCAUUAUUAACUGAAGUCCAAUGGAACUCAUGGUAUCAAUAAUGUCACAGAAUGAUGCAUUCUGGGUUGCUGCCAGUGAACUCACAGGUCUCAGAUGAUUUCAUUUCACAGAAAAAAGGAAAAGAAUUUUUAAAAUGGUAAAUUGACACUUAUUUCUCUGCUGAAUGCCUCUUCCUUUCAGAGCCAAGUUAGUGGGCACAUUUUAUCACAUAUUUCAGGGUUUAACAUACCUCUCAAUUUGCGAAGGCCAAAAUAUGGGACAUAGUGUGUGGCAAAGACCUCAAAUAAGAGAUGUACAAAUAUUAUUUGGGCAGGAAAUGUAAAAUGCUUUGAAUUGACUCCUUUGAUGCAAAUAGCUCUUUCUGUAACCUCUGUUGUAUCCUUCUUUUGUUUCUGAUCAGAGUCAUUUGCUGCAAUAAAAGGGAGAGGGCACUAGAUUUCGAUAGAAUGUCACCUUAACGGGCAUGUUCCAACAUUUCAUCAGCAAGAUAUUCUGGACUGGGCCCUAAAUGCCUACAUUGAAUUAAGCAACAACAAACAAUAGGAGAACUCAAGUAACGUUGCAGUCUUGGUCAAAGUUGAACCGAGCUGCAAAGCACUGGAGCGGAAACUUGGCUCGCAAUAUUUUAAGGCAAGCUCUUUCCAAAACAUCUUAGUGAAAGAUACUGUAGGUGGCAUGAAUGGCAGAU